Long non-coding RNA from Micropterus dolomieu (smallmouth bass), 609 nucleotides. RefSeq lists it as uncharacterized. The record is from RefSeq and is a predicted model, not a curated record. NCBI's taxonomy places the organism in Eukaryota, Metazoa, Chordata, Actinopteri, Centrarchiformes, Centrarchidae. The transcript is spliced from 4 exons.
GAGCGAUUGCUGCAGUAUGCCAGAGAGUUCCCACCUGUCACCUUUCAUCUUGACAAACGCUUGGAGGAGUCAAGGAAAGACAAACGAAAGAAGACUGAAUCUACCCUUUCUAAGUUCCAUCAGGAUCCUUUCUAUGCCAGUGAUGCUGAAUUGUUGGCAGCUGCUGAGACUGUCCUUGAAGAGUCUGAGGUAGGGGUCUCCACACAGCUGACCACCUGGGGAGAGCUCACACCGGCUGUGAGUCAGGAGAACUCUUCCCACAGCCUCAGCACAUCUCAGGGAAGACCUUCUUCCCCUGUAGACACCUCUGCCUCAGAAACCAGUGGCAUCUUGCUGGAGGGCUGGCAGAAAUACUGGGAGCAUCCACCUCCAUCUACACAAGCCAAUGGUAUAGCUCCUCCUAACAUCAAGUGGCUGAAAUGUGAUGAGAUGUAUGGUCAAUCCUCAGUGUGACUGGAGAAAUCCUCUGCAUUGAUGGUACAAAAAAGGUCCUUAAGAAGAUAUAUGGUGAUGGCCAGGGCACCAUGCAGUAUAUCACCAGUGUGCUGAAUGAGUGGGGCCAGUUCUUGACCACAGUGGUGGUGGCAGCUGAGUCUGAGGGGUGCUACA